GACGAACGCUGGCGGCGUGCUUAACACAUGCAAGUCGAACGAAGAGCGAUGGAAGCUUGCUUCUAUCAAUCUUAGUGGCGAACGGGUGAGUAACGCGUAAUCAACCUGCCCUUCAGAGGGGGACAACAGUUGGAAACGACUGCUAAUACCGCAUACGAUCUAACCUCGGCAUCGAGGAUAGAUGAAAGGUGGCCUCUACAUGUAAGCUAUCACUGAAGGAGGGGAUUGCGUCUGAUUAGCUAGUUGGAGGGGUGACGGCCCACCAAGGCGAUGAUCAGUAGCCGGUCUGAGAGGAUGAACGGCCACAUUGGGACUGAGACACGGCCCAGACUCCUACGGGAGGCAGCAGUGGGGAAUCUUCCGCAAUGGACGAAAGUCUGACGGAGCAACGCCGCGGGAGUGAUGACGGCCUUCGGGUUGUAAAGCUCUGUUAAUCGGGACGAAAGGCCUUCUUGCGAAUAGUUAGAAGGAUUGACGGUACCGGAAUAGAAAGCCACGGCUAACUACGUG
This 510-nucleotide ribosomal RNA is filed under the name uncultured bacterium. RNAcentral's name for it is "partial 16S ribosomal RNA". It matches the Rfam family "Bacterial small subunit ribosomal RNA", at positions 28 to 507 of the family's 1533-position model. The record is from RNAcentral.